Ribosomal RNA from Otolemur garnettii (small-eared galago), 122 nucleotides. NCBI's taxonomy places the organism in Eukaryota, Metazoa, Chordata, Mammalia, Primates, Galagidae. The record is from Ensembl.
GGCUACAACCACACCACCCUGAAUGCACCUGUUCACGUCUGAACUCAGAAGCUAAGCAGGAUUGAGCCUGGUUGGAACUCGGAUGGGAAGGAAAGGGACAGUGCUUCAGGUAGGAAUACUCA